Molecule: long non-coding RNA, 1921 nt
Filed under: Nicotiana benthamiana
Lineage: Eukaryota; Viridiplantae; Streptophyta; Magnoliopsida; Solanales; Solanaceae
Description: long non-coding RNA (NBEN_LNC008789)
Source: RNAcentral
UCACUUUCAAACUUUGCCAAAUGAGCACAAGAAAUCUUUAUCGAUGGAUAUUGAUUCAAAUAACAAUAGCUCAGUUCAUGACCUAACAACUAAGAAUUCUAAAACAGUCUAAAAAUAAACAAACAUCUAUAGCAUGAAUCACAGAAAAGAAGACAAUGAAUAGGCCAAAAUCUGCUGCCAAAAAUCACUCAAUCCAGAAGAUUCAGGGAGCAACAGCCCAUGAAAACCUUUGCAUUUCAACGUACCAAGUCAACACUAGCCAACAGCCACCGAAACAGACCCCUUUCAAACAUCUUUAUUUUUAGAGAAAAAAAAAUGUGGAGAGAAAAACAGUAUUGAAACUGUGUAAUGUUGCAGAAUCUUCAUCCCAAUUUCGUGCAAACUGAAGUGCAAAUACAUGAAGUGAUAUGAAAUAUAAUCACAAACUUGACACACUAGAAUAAUGCUUAAAUGAAUCCAAAAUCAGUGAUAGCGAAUGAGUCCAAAUGAUCCGAGUAGGUCCAAACAUGCAGAUAAACCCUCAGACUCAUUUUCGAGUUCAAAUCUCAUUCUCCAUCUUAACGUCCUUGGCUAGUAGCUUAUACAACACAUUAACAAACAAACUCUCAGCAAAAGCAAUACCAAAACUCAUGAAAAAUAACAGAUGAAAAGCAUCUAUUCAACUGAAGCGGGCAGUUUUGCCUAUCUGAGGAUUAAAAAGAAGCUAGACACCAGAACAUGAGCUUAUCAUUGUAAAAUGAUGCCUUCAGCAUAUGAACUGGAAGACGCACUGUUCAUUUGUAAAAAAACAGUUGUAACCUAACUAAAGUAUGGGAAAAGGAUACUAUUCAGUGAUUCCUGUCGAACUUGUCGAAACAAAACAGUAGGUGCAUUCAUAGUCGUGCAAUAGGCUGUCUGGACAGUGCAAACAGGGCAACUGACUCGAUUCAUCAAAGUUCAGAAUGAUUACUUAGAUUCGAGUCCCUACCAGCCGCUAUCAAUUAGUCUACACUCGAUGACAAUCCCAAAAUUUUGGUGCAGAGGUAAACUCAUGCUUUCAACCAGUAGAACAUCCAGAUAAGGUUACGAAAUUAAAGGAAAGAGAAAACUAAACAACUCUUUGAAUUCUAAUUUUGAUAGAACAAAAUCUGAUGACCAAAAAGAGUUCACAGAACAAGUCAUUUAGUGUUCGGAAAGCACGCAUAAUGAGAAGUAACUUCAUAUCUUCAUGCUCGCUUGUGAUUUUCAAAACUGAACUCAUCGUUCAUUUGCAAGCGACGAAAUCUUGACUAAAAAAUGAUAAUUCGACCCCAAAAUAACAGUUAAACCAUAUAAGCACAGAAAACGACCACUCAAAAUCAACUUCUACUAGCUGAGAAUACUCAAAUACAUCACACCAUCGCGAACAGAUUUAAUCAGCAAGAAGUUCGAUCAAAACACAAACAAACCACCCUAGAUUUAAUCUCAUAGCUCAAAAUACAACGAAACAAAACAAAAUCAAGUUGUAACAAUCCAUAAAACCACCCUAAAUUGGAUCUCAUAGCUCAAAAUACAAUGAAAUAAAACUGAAUGGCAAGAACAGAGAGAUGAAGACUGAACCUCAAAAUUUCGAACUUCUUUUGAUAACAAAAUCGAAGGCGAUUACACAGUUUCGACUCCAAACUUUCAGCAAUAAAAUAACAGCAGGUCAAGACUCGGAGCACAGCCAAACCAGUCGCAAAGACGAGCAGCAAUCAGAAGUUUAGACAGCAACGAACUCAACAACUUUCAAUCGAACUCCAUUUUAAGAAACAAAAUCAAGACAGAUAUUGAAAUCUUUGGUGAUUUUCUAAUUUCUUCUGAAAUGAAACUCGAACAAAAAUCAAACCCAAACUAUUUUUUUGUAUUUUUCUUUUUCUGAAAAUGCAGUACUAGAUUCAAAAGAAGGAAAGCAAAGAACCCU